UGCCUUAUUUAAAAUUUAUUUCAACACUCACUUUUCAUUUAAUUGCAUUAUUAAAUAAGACAAGAAUUUUUUCUUCCUUUUUACAGCCUUACCCACCUUUUAUGCCUCGAAGACUCACAGGGCACAGUAGAUACCUAUCACAGCAACCAAUACCACCACAUGCGUACCAUCCCAGCCUAUUACCAUAUGUGUUAUCAGUGCUUCCAGUGCCACCUGCAGUUGGACCAGCUUUCAGUUUUGAGUUGGAUGUGGAAGAUGGAGAGGUAGAAAACUACGAGGCACUGUUGAAUUUGGCAGAACGCCUAGGAGAAGCCAAACCUCGAGGACUGACAAAGACAGACAUUGAACAACUUCCAUCUUACAGGUUCAAUCCAAGCAAUCAUCAAUCAGAGCAGACAUUGUGUGUAGUGUGUAUGUGUGACUUUGAAGCAAGGCAGCUACUUAGAGUCUUACCCUGUAACCACGAGUUUCAUGCCAAGUGUGUUGAUAAAUGGCUUAAGGCAAAUCGUACCUGCCCAAUUUGCAGAGCUGAUGCUUCAGAAGUACAUCGUGAUUCAGAAUGACUAAUCUGAGAGCAAAAAUCUGGUUUGGGUGUUCCUGGUCACAUGUUAGACUUCAGUUUUGAAGAUACUGCACUUUGUGCCCCUCCUCCAAAAGAAAGCUGAAAAGGUGCUGAGGGUCUUCUGCAAAGUUUCUUCACUUUGACCAUUAUACUUGCUAAGU
This is a long non-coding RNA of Pseudopipra pipra, 723 nucleotides long. RefSeq lists it as uncharacterized. The record is from RefSeq and is a predicted model, not a curated record. The transcript is spliced from 6 exons. NCBI's taxonomy places the organism in Eukaryota, Metazoa, Chordata, Aves, Passeriformes, Pipridae.